UUAAAUCUUAGGUCCGAGUUUGUUUUCCUUUGAAUCAACAAAAACGACCUCUAUCCUUCGGAUGGACCCACGACCCGGCGUUCCAAAAAUCGGAAUCGAGUGUAAGAUCCCCAAAUAUUUUUCGUUUCUUUUAAUUUCUUUUCCCACACUUUCUCGGCAGCCAAACAGACCGAAAUUGAACUUUUCUGGUUGUGUGCAUCGAGAUCGAGGAGAAAUCCAACAUGGGGUUUUUGGUAACGACCUUAAUUUUCCUUGUGAUUGGGAUCAUUGCUUCUCUGUGUACCAGAAUUUGCUGCAACCGAG
Non-coding RNA from Prunus avium (sweet cherry), 303 nucleotides. NCBI's taxonomy places the organism in Eukaryota, Viridiplantae, Streptophyta, Magnoliopsida, Rosales, Rosaceae. The record is from RefSeq and is a predicted model, not a curated record.